AUUGAACGCUGGCGGAAUGCUUUACACAUGCAAGUCGAACGGCAGCACGGGGGCAACCCUGGUGGCGAGUGGCGAACGGGUGAGUAAUACAUCGGAACGUGCCCAGUCGUGGGGGAUAACGUAGCGAAAGUUACGCUAAUACCGCAUACGAUCUACGGAUGAAAGCGGGGGACCGUAAGGCGCCGCGCGAUUGGAGCGGCGGAUGUCAGAUUAGGUAGUUGGUGAGGUAAAGGCUCACCAAGCCGACGAUCUGUAGCUGGUCUGAGAGGACGACCAGCCACACUGGGACUGAGACACGGCCCAGACUCCUACGGGAGGCAGCAGUGGGGAAUUUUGGACAAUGGGCGCAAGCCUGAUCCAGCCAUUCCGCGUGCAGGACGAAGGCCUUCGGGUUGUAAACUGCUUUUAUACGGAACGAAAAGGCUCUGGUUAAUACCUGGGGCUCAUGACGGUACCGUAAGAAUAAGCACCGGCUAACUACGUGCCAGCCGCCGCCGUAA
Molecule: ribosomal RNA, 500 nt
Filed under: uncultured bacterium
Lineage: Bacteria
Description: partial 16S ribosomal RNA
Rfam family: Bacterial small subunit ribosomal RNA
Source: RNAcentral